Molecule: transfer RNA, 75 nt
Filed under: Amycolatopsis oliviviridis
Lineage: Bacteria; Bacillati; Actinomycetota; Actinomycetes; Pseudonocardiales; Pseudonocardiaceae
Description: tRNA-Leu
Rfam family: tRNA
About the family: Transfer RNA (tRNA) molecules are approximately 80 nucleotides in length.
Source: RNAcentral
GCCCCGGUAGCCCAACUGGCAGAGGCAGUCGACUUAAAAUCGACACAGUGCGGGUUCGAUCCCCGUCCGGGGCAC